Molecule: ribosomal RNA, 301 nt
Filed under: uncultured bacterium
Lineage: Bacteria
Description: partial 16S ribosomal RNA
Rfam family: Bacterial small subunit ribosomal RNA
Source: RNAcentral
CAGUCGCCGCGGGAAUACGAAGGGGGCUAGCGUUGCUCGGAAUUACUGGGCGUAAAGGGCGCGUAGGCGGAUUGUUAAGUUGGAGGUGAAAGCCCAGGGCUCAACCUUGGAACUGCCUUCAAUACUGGCAAUCUUGAGUAUGAGAGAGGUGUGUGGAACUCCGAGUGUAGAGGCGAAAUUCGUAGAUAUUCGGAAGAACACCAGUGGCGAAGGCGACACACUGGCUCAUUACUGACGCUGAGGCGCGAAAGCGUGAGGAGCAAACAGGAUUAGAUACCCGUGUAGUCCCUGUCUCUUAUAC